This 457-nucleotide ribosomal RNA is filed under the name uncultured bacterium. RNAcentral's name for it is "partial 16S ribosomal RNA". It matches the Rfam family "Bacterial small subunit ribosomal RNA", at positions 338 to 795 of the family's 1533-position model. The record is from RNAcentral.
CCUACGGGUGUCUGCAGUGGGGAAUAUUGCACAAUGGGGGAAACCCUGAUGCAGCGACGCCGCGUGAGUGAAGAAGUAUUUCGGUACGUAAAGCUCUAUCAGCAGGGAAGAAAAAAAGUCCUUUGGACUUUGGACGGUACCUGACCAAGAAGCACCGGCUAACUACGUGCCAGCAGCCGCGGUAAUACGAAGGGGGCAAGCGUUAUCCGGAUUUAUUGGGUGGAAGGGGAGCGUAGACGGCAGCGCAAGUCUGGAGUGAAAUGACGGGGCCCAACCCCGGAACUGCUUUGGAAAGUGGGCAGCUGGAGUGCAGGAGAGGUAAGCGGAAUUCCUAGUGUAGCGGUGAAAUGCGUAGAUAUUAGGAAGAACACCAGUGGCGAAGGCGGCUUAUUGGACUGUAACUGACGUUGAGGCUCGAAAGCGUGGGGAGCAAACAGGAUUAGAUACCCGAGUAGUC